UACAGAGGCCACAAGCGUUAGGCGGAAUCACUGGGCUUAAAGCGUGUGUAGGCGGGUUGGUAAGUACUUUGUGAAAUCCCACGGCUUAACCGUGGAAUUGCUUGGUAUACUGCCGAUCUUGAGUCAUCUAGAGGUAACCGGAACAGAUGGUGGAGCGGUGAAAUGCAUAGAUAUCAUCUGGAACGCCAAUGGUGCAGACAGGUUACUGGGGAUGUACUGACGCUGAGGCACGAAAGCGUGGGGAGCAAACAGG
Molecule: ribosomal RNA, 253 nt
Filed under: uncultured bacterium
Lineage: Bacteria
Description: partial 16S ribosomal RNA
Rfam family: Bacterial small subunit ribosomal RNA
Source: RNAcentral